This 516-nucleotide long non-coding RNA is filed under the name Mytilus galloprovincialis (Mediterranean mussel). The record is from RNAcentral. Lineage: Eukaryota; Metazoa; Mollusca; Bivalvia; Mytilida; Mytilidae.
AUUUAUAAAAGAAAGCCAGAAUAGGUCAAAGUACGGCCUUCAACACAGAGCCACGGCUCACACCGAACAGCAAGCUAUAAAGGUCCCCACAAAUAUAUAAUGUCAACUGUUCAAACGGGAAAAACAACGGUCUAAUAUAUAUUAAAACGCAAAACGAAAUACACAAAUGAACCAUUUGAACAAAAGACAACCACUUGACACUUUUUAAAGAGUGAUUGACACGUAUAGUUAACUCUCGUUGUCUUGAACUAAGUUGACUCGAAGAGAGCCGAAAAAUACCAAAGGGACAGUCAAAUUCAUAAAUAAAUAAAAAACUGUCAACGCCAUGGCAAAAGAAAAAGACGAACAGACAAAUUACAGCCCACAACACACAACAUACAAAUGUAGAAAACUAAAAACUAAGCAACACGAACCCCACUAAAAGCCGGGAAUGGUAUUGGGUGCUCCGGAAUUGUAAGCAUAUCCUUCUCUAUAUGUGGCACCCGUCGUGUCGCUCAAGUUAUUUAAAAUCCGGCA